AAGAAAACAAAAUAGGUUCUACAGUUUGAAGGAAAGAAAAAGUCUAAUUUCAAACUUAAACUAUUUCAUUACUUAUCGCCUCAAAGUAAUAUUUUUGUCAGCUCAUUAAGGAAAUGUAUCUUCAUGAUCAUCUAAUAUUCUUUAGGACAACUUAUCUUGGAUAAAACCAGAAUAUCAUAUUUCUGGUUUCAUUGUUUCAUCAUUCCUGGCUACAUGUUAACUCAAACUUCAUUUUUCUAAAGUAUUGGUUUCGUCUUCUACCUUAGUUUCAUCAUUGACUUUCCAUUUAUGAUAUAUGGUCUGGUUUUGUCCAAUUUAAGUCCAAUUUGGAUUAGUUCUUUACAAAUCAAUUCACAAUGCCAUGAAUCCAUUAAUUUUGCAUUAUCAAAGGCAUAUUUUUCACAAAUAUAUAUCUUAAUCCUGUAUUUCAUAAAAAUUAAUAGUAGGUUAUUAGGAAACUUUAGUACUUUAAAUGAGGUUUGGAACAUGGGAAUGGAUUUUUUUUUUUUAACUUGGAGCUUCCAGUUGGUACAGAUUUGUUUACCUAGUAAUAAUAUAAACUAUUCCAUCCCUGUAAGUGAUUGAAUUGCUGCUAGAUUUAACAUUUAUUUCAUUGCAAGUACAAAUAGUUUGACAGACAUGACAUACUGCAGUAUAGCAUACUACAAUAAACCAAGCAAAUUAAACAACAAAAUUGACAAGACUUUCUAGGUUCAAAUUUAGAGUUAACAAUAGCCUGGAAGUAUGUCAAGCUUACACCAAUUAUUUUGAUUUUAUUUAGUUGUUUCAUUAUUGUCUUUUUAGGGUCGCACCCAUGGCAUAUGGAGGUUCCCAAGCUAGGGGUCAAAUUGGAGGUGCAGCUGGCAGCCUACACCACAGCCCAAGCAUCAUAGGUUAGGUCCAUGAUCUACCUCACUACUCACAGCAACACCGGAUCCUUAACCCACUGAAUGAAGCCAGGGAUCAAAACUGCAUCCUCAUGGAUGCUAGUCAGAUUCAUUUUCCCUGAGCCACAGUGGGAACUCUGCAAUUAUUUUGAAUCCAUAUUUUUAAUUUAUGAAAAGAAAGUAAAACAAUCUAGAUUUCAUUAAUUCAUUAAUUAAAAGGAGAAUGUAAUAUGAAAGUACAGAUAAAAAUAACAUUAAGAAGUAAGCGUAUGGUCAAUUUUAAGUGCCUUUUAAUUCUUUUUAAUUUCCUGGUUUAUUUUACAGUGAGAAUGUACUAAUUUUAUAUUUAAACUUUCUCACUCUUCUUCCCUACUAAAAUUAAAAAAAAAAAAAGUCACCGCAUACUGGCAAAUGAGUCUACUCCUAAAUCAUCCACUGAUAGACUUUAUUGGUUAUGAAUUCCCUUGUAUUAUAGCAUCCUCCUAACAAGACCAUCAGUUUUUAAUCAUGGUACUCUCUAACCCCGCUCCCCACUACAGAUAAUCGUCCUAUAACACAGAGUAAAUUAGGUUACAACUUGACAACCUCUGUUUGUAAUUGGCCUUUGAUUGCAUUUUGGGUAGAAUUUAAAUUCCUUAGCAUGAUGCCAGAGGCAUAGUGAAUCCGUGGUGCCUGUUUUGAUGCCCCACCUCUUUUCCAUGGACACUAAUGUUCAGGCAUACUGAACUUGUGGUUCAGCAGACAUGCCCAUCUCCCCCCAUGUCCCAGGCUUCAAACCAGGAAUAUCUAUUCGUGUUUGCCAAUCCAACUUGAUGUCAUGCAGAAAUCAGCUCAGGUUCAUCCUCUAUAACUCUAUCCUCUUAAUCCAUCCUAAACCUUUGAGUUGAGUGAACCACAUAGACCUACCAUGUAGAGCUAUAUGAUGUUAUUAUGUAUCUCUAACACUGUAUUACACUCCUUGGUUUUCUAUUGUGUGUAUGCAUUAAGCUUUGAGCAUUUAGAAGGCUGGUGCAACUCUAUCCUUGUAUUAACUCUAACUAUUGCUCACCAAGAACUCACUUGAGAAAUGAUGAAUGGAUGUUGAAUGAAUUAUUUUCCAUUGGGCUGCUGUCACAGUAUCUUUGCAAACAUAAAUCACUGUGUAGGAAACAAUUCAGGGAGGUACAAUUUCUAAAAAUAUGUAUGUACUAAAGAUGUGUCUUAUGGUAUACAUACUAAAGGUAUGUGAGUUUGUGUUCAACUAAUACAAAAUUGUUACCAGUGUCUUCAUAUGGGUCAAGUAUUAUAGCCAUUUUAAUCUUACAAAAUAGUAUAACAAAUAUAGACUCUUCAUUUAUAACCACAGCACUUUGAAAAGUUUGGUAGCAAUAUAUUCAAACUCAACAUUUAAAUUUUCAUGAAUUUUGUUAAAUGUAUAUAUUCAUACUGAUAAUGCUUGGAAAACAUUACCAAUUUAAUUUUUGUGGUAUAAAGUAUAUCUCAAGAAUUUGAUAUCUUAAUUAUAUUAAAACACUUGUCACCUAUUGAAAUGUCGGCUAUUUUAAAUCUAUAUGAAGAGCCUGGCUAAAUAUAAAUUUGUUUUUAAUUGUUAUUUUUGGUUUGGCACUUAUCCAUUAUUUGCAUAUGAUCUUAUGUGUUUUUGAUAAAACCUUUUUAACUUACCUUACUUCCCAAAGGGUAUUGCCUAAGAUUCUGUGGUAGCUACUGUCAGAGGCAGACACUAUGCAUAUUUAUAAAAUGCUAUAGCAAAAUAAUCCUGAAUUUGGUCUAGAUGUAUUAGUUUUUGAGGUGAUGUUUCUAAUUUCUCUAGGUUGUCUUGGCUUUUAUACACAUGAAUGAAAGCUACAUCUCAUUUUCACUUCUGGCUUGACUCAUUCAGAGAAGCAGUUUGAUUUACAGAUGUGAAAGGUGACUGUACUUUGCCCAGAGCCUCCCAGGCUGCCUAGAAAGAUUUUCCUCCCAAAUAUUCAGGAAAAAUGUUUUUGUUUUGUUUUUGUUUUUCUAAAAAAGAAAUGAGUGACAGGCCUCUCCCGUAUGCAGGCAAUCCUAUAGAGUGACCUGUAGAACUUAUACACAUUAUCAGAUACUACAGAAAACAAUUUACACAGUUUCAGUCAUACUGACUAAAGACAAGUGAACUAUAUGAUGUAUACGUGCAUAACACUAGAAGCAAAUUGUGUACUGGUUUUGAAAGGUUUGUGAUACCAAAUUGGUAAGCAAGUCUGGUCUUACUGCCAAAAUAUAUAAUAGAUCCUUUAAGAAGUAGUGAAAUCCCAUGGAACAGGUCUUUUGAAAAAGAUGAACCCCAAGAAGCAUGCUUGAAGACAUACAGCUCUUAUCUGUCAAUAUCAUACAUAGUGAAUGUGUUUUAAAAAAAAAGCAUAAUGGUGUGCUAUUGUUAUAGCUGAGACAUUGCUCUGCUUUAUGUUUGCAUUAGGGACUUGUUAAGGUGCAUAAUGUUUUGCCCACUAAAUGUCUAUAUGAGACAAGAUUGUCAACUCAGCUGUAAACAAAGGGCACUCUUGCUAGAAAAAUCUCUGAAAUUGGCUUUCUAAAUACAAACAGCAGGAAGGCCUCUCAUUUCUUACUUUCCCUGAUCAUUGUUCUAGGAUUUGAAAGCAAAUAUAAAUAUAUAUGUGAUUUGUAAAAAUCUUAAAAGUCUUACCUUAACAUCCCAUUGUUUUAUUAUCCUAUUUUUCUUAAAGACUGUGUUCAAGCUGUGGACAUAAAACCACCAUAAAAAAUCUGCCCUUCCCAGUGGAUUCACAAUAUAUAAGGCACACACUGAAGAUGACUCUCUAACAUUGAGUAUGGUGUGCAGUUUUGCUGGGAUUAAGAAGAAAGCUCUUAUUCUCAGGUUAAAGUAAAAGUGUUGAGUAAUAGUUGCCAAACAUUUUCUACAUGUAGAACUCAGACUUUGGAAUUUUGAUCAUAUAGUUGAGGGGGGAAAAAUAGGCUAAGAAGUUUGAUACUCUGCCUGUGGAAGAAAAGAGGGAGGAUGCCUUCAAAUGUGUGUCAGCCUACUCACUGCUCCCUUAUCCAGUCCCUAAUGCCUGAUGGUCACCAUGGGUACUGAUUGCCUUAGCCACAGAAACCACCAAAUACACUCUUGACAUUUCACUGCCUUUAACCAUAUGAAACAACAUAGCUAAACAGAAUAGAUGACUAACCAUAAGUGACACUUGUUAAUUUGUAGACUAAGCUUGGGGGAGGGGGGAAUGACUGUAAUGCUUUUUGGCAACCAAAGCAUCAGGGUCUGCAUUAUAUUCUUAAGACAAAGAAAAAAAAUGUAGUUGAACUGCUUGAGAACAAUAUAGUCAUUUGUUCAUGAGUUCUAAAUCUUCCCUGUUUUAAUAUGGAUAUCUUGCUCUUCCAGGCCAGAUUGAAAUGAAACCUUGAAAACACUUUUAAAAGGCUAUUUGGAAAAAAAAAAUACUCUUAAUAGCUUCUCU
RNAcentral lists this long non-coding RNA (4339 nucleotides) under Sus scrofa (pig). Its description in RNAcentral is "lncRNA (ENSSSCG00000057285.1)". The record is from RNAcentral. Lineage: Eukaryota; Metazoa; Chordata; Mammalia; Artiodactyla; Suidae.